Molecule: ribosomal RNA, 380 nt
Filed under: uncultured Lachnospiraceae bacterium
Lineage: Bacteria; Bacillati; Bacillota; Clostridia; Lachnospirales; Lachnospiraceae
Description: bacterial SSU rRNA
Rfam family: Bacterial small subunit ribosomal RNA
Source: RNAcentral
UGGGGAAUAUUGCACAAUGGGGGGAAACCCUGAUGCAGCGACGUCGCGUGAACGAAGAAGUAUUUCGGUAUGUAAAGUUCUAUCAGCAGGGAAGAUAAUGACGGUACCUGACUAAGAAGCACCGGCUAAAUACGUGCCAGCAGCCGCGGUAAUACGUAUGGUGCAAGCGUUAUCCGGAUUUACUGGGUGUAAAGGGAGCGUAGGCCGUCUUUUAAGCGUGUUGUGAAAUACUGUCGCUCAACGACAGAGGUGCAGCGCGAACUGGGAGACUUGAGUGCGCGGAAUGCAGGCGGAAUUCGUCGUGUAGCGGUGAAUGCUUAGAUAUGACGAAGAACUCCGAUUGCGAAGGCAGCUUGCAGUAGCGUAACUGACGCUGAAGC